AGUCACUGCUAUCUGAAUCCGACUAAGGCAUGCUAGUCUUAGGUAAAACUAGGGCGAACAGCUCAGUAACACGUAGUCAACCUGCCCUUGAGCCUGGGGUAAUCUCGCGAAAGUGAGGCCGAUCCCCGGAUAGAUGAUUAUUCCUGGAAUGGUCUAUCAUCGAAUCAAGGAUGGGACUGCGGCCUAUUAGAUUGUUGUCAGAGUAACGACCUGACAAGUCUAUAAUGGGUACGGGCCUUGAGAGAGGAAGCCCGGAGAUGGAAUCUGAGACAAGAUUCCAGGUCCUACGGGAUGCAGCAGCUGCGAAACUUUCGCAAUUCGCGCAAGCGUGACGAAGGGAUUCAGAGUGCUUUCUCUUCGGAGGAAGCUUUUGUCAAGUUUAAACCGCUUGAAGAAUAAGUGGUGGGUAAGACGGGUGCCAGCCGCCGCGGUAAUACCCGCGCCACGAGUGGUGACCUCGUUUAUUGGGUUUAAAGCGUUCGUAGCCGGUUUGGUAAGUUCUUAAUGAAAUCGACGAGCGAAGCUCGGCGAGCUGUCGCUUGCGACAUGAAAUCUGGCAGCUGACUGUCAGGCCUGUUAGGGAAACUACCAGACUUGAGACCGGGAGAGGCUAAGGGUAUUAUUGGAGUAGGGGUAAAAGAGCCUCUUACGGGAGUUUCCACUUCCGCAAAAAUCCUCGGAAAAACAGAGGCUAUACAAUCCUGUAAUUCCAAUAAGACCACCUGUGGCGUGAGCCUUUUACGAGAGCUAUCGCUUCUGCCAAAGACUCAAGCGAAAACCGAAAAGAAAAGGCUUCCACACAAGGCGCUUAGCUAGAACGGAUCUGACGGUGAGGGACGAAAGCUAGGGGAGCGAAGGGGAUUAGAUUGACCCUUUUUUCAGAAAAAGCGUCAACAGAAAAAGGAGGCUGCUUGCUUCCGCUCGUUACG
RNAcentral lists this ribosomal RNA (929 nucleotides) under uncultured archaeon. Its description in RNAcentral is "bacterial SSU rRNA". It matches the Rfam family "Archaeal small subunit ribosomal RNA", at positions 21 to 787 of the family's 1478-position model. The record is from RNAcentral.